RNAcentral lists this ribosomal RNA (381 nucleotides) under Triticum aestivum (bread wheat). RNAcentral's name for it is "partial small subunit ribosomal RNA". Lineage: Eukaryota; Viridiplantae; Streptophyta; Magnoliopsida; Poales; Poaceae. The record is from RNAcentral.
AUGGUGUGGCCUAGAGGAGGUGCAGGGGCUGUCUCUGCGGAGCAUUGCCCUUCGGCACGGUCAGUGGCUCUCUCUGUCGCGACAUGGCUAGGCAAUGGGAUGCCCUUCGAUGGCGAUUGUGACUUCCUAGCUCUUCAAGGCCGACAUAAGCCCGCCAUAGCUUCGUCAAAAAAAAACAUGUCGGCUGAGGAGGUGCAGGCCUUGAUGGCCUCCACGGAUACCGAUGGCGUCGGGCUGCUAGACGAGGAGGAGUUCCUGAGGCUGGCUAGGGCUGCACCUGGACGCCGACAGUGUCAACUUAUGAUCCGCCGGUUCGAUCUCAACGGCGACGGGGUGCUCACCUCCGACGAGUUCAAGACCAUGAUGAUGAUGAUGGCAUGA